This 837-nucleotide ribosomal RNA is filed under the name uncultured bacterium. Its description in RNAcentral is "bacterial SSU rRNA". It matches the Rfam family "Bacterial small subunit ribosomal RNA", at positions 95 to 933 of the family's 1533-position model. The record is from RNAcentral.
CCGGCAAACGGGUGCGGAACAUGUACGCAACCUUCCCAAAACUGGUGAAUAGCCCUCCGAAAGGAGGAUUAAUACACCGUAAGAUAAUGAAGAGGCAUCUCUUUAUUAUUAUAGCUCCGGCGGUUUUGGAUGGGCGUGCACCUGAUUAGGUAGUUGGUGAGGUAACGGCUCACCAAGCCUGCGAUCAGUAACUGGUGUGAGAGCACGACCAGUCACACGGGCACUGAGACACGGGCCCGACUCCUACGGGAGGCAGCAGUAAGGAAUAUUGGUCAAUGGACGAAAGUCUGAACCAGCCACGCCGCGUGAAGGAUGACGGCCCUCUGGGUUGUAAACUUCUUUUAUAUGGGACGAAAAAAGGGAAUUCUUUCUCACUUGACGGUACCAUAGGAAUAAGCACCGGCUAACUCCGUGCCAGCAGCCGCGGUAAUACGGAGGGUGCAAGCGUUAUCCGGAUUCACUGGGUUUAAAGGGUGCGUAGGUGGGUAGGUAAGUCAGUGGUGAAAUCUCCGAGCUUAACUCGGAAACUGCCAUUGAUACUAUUUAUCUUGAAUUUUUUGGAGGUGAGCGGAAUAUGUCAUGUAGCGGUGAAAUGCUUAGAUAUGACAUAGAACACCAAUUGCGAAGGCAGCUCACUACGAAAUUAUUGACACUGAGGCACGAAAGCGUGGGGAUCAAACAGGAUUAGAUACCCUGGUAGUCCACGCCCUAAACGAUGGAUACUCGACAUCAGCGAUACACUGUUGGUGUCUGAGCGAAAGCAUUAAGUAUCCCACCUGGGAAGUACGACCGCAAGGUUGAAACUCAAAGGAAUUGACGGGGGUCCGCACAAGCGGU